CUACGGGGUGCAGCAGUGGGGAAUAUUGCACAAUGGGGGAAACCCUGAUGCAGCAACGCCGCGUGGAGGAUGACACAUUUCGGUGCGUAAACUCCUUUUAUAGGUCAAGAUAAUGACGGUAGCCUAUGAAUAAGCGCCGGCUAACUCCGUGCCAGCAGCCGCGGUAAUACGGAGGGCGCAAGCGUUACUCGGAAUCACUGGGCGGAAAGAGCAUGUAGGCGGGUUAAUAAGUCAGAAGUGAAAUCCAAUAGCUCAACUAUUGAACUGCUUUUGAAACUGUUAACCUAGAGUGUGGGAGAGGUAGAUGGAAUUUCUGGUGUAGGGGUAAAAUCCGUAGAGAUCAGAAGGAAUACCGAUUGCGAAGGCGAUCUACUGGAACAUUACUGACGCUGAGAUGCGAAAGCGUGGGGAGCAAACAGGAUUAGAUACCCCCGUAGUC
Molecule: ribosomal RNA, 439 nt
Filed under: uncultured bacterium
Lineage: Bacteria
Description: partial 16S ribosomal RNA
Rfam family: Bacterial small subunit ribosomal RNA
Source: RNAcentral